AUGAGAUGCAGAGGGGACAGUCAGCACGGGAAGAGUCCAGGAGGCCCCCGGCCAGCAGACACGGGAGUGUUCCUGUCGCAGAUUGCUGCAUCUGGGGACCUGAACAACGCAGCAGUAGCCGUUCACCUUGCCACUGGGAGAGACGCUGCCCCACUGCCUAAGGGCUCCAGCUCGUACCCAACCGAAGCAGAGGGGCCCUCUGGAGCAACGCCACCUGCUGGUCAGAGGGCAAGCUCUGCAGCCACAGCGAGUCUCUUCCGCCCCCACCUACCAGCCGUGGGAAGUUGGACACAUUACCUCACCUCUCCAAGCCUCCGUUUUUUUCAUGUGCAAAUAAAGAUAAUUAUUAUUCUCACCUCAUAGAGGUGUUCUGAGAAUUAACUCUAGUAAUCCAUGAGCACAGUGCCUGGCUCAUGGUAAACAAUAAACGUCAGCUACCACCACCACCAUUACAACUGAGCAUUCCCAUGGGAUUGUGAUGGGCUAGGAUGACUGCGGGAAAUUCCCAUCCGCAUCUGGAGAGCGAGGAAAGGUGCCCAGCACCCCCAGACUGCAGGCAGAUGCCGAGGCAGGCCAAGCAUCCUGGGGCGGGAGUCAAGAGGGUUCUGUGCUUCCCCAAGAGCCUUCCACUGCGCAGUUGUGGGUCUGUCCCAGAAAUGACC
This 662-nucleotide long non-coding RNA is filed under the name Dasypus novemcinctus (nine-banded armadillo). Its description in RNAcentral is "lncRNA (ENSDNOG00000051619.1)". Lineage: Eukaryota; Metazoa; Chordata; Mammalia; Cingulata; Dasypodidae. The record is from RNAcentral.